CUCUAGAACCAUAACACCUUGAAUGCACCCAAUCUCAUCCAAUCUCAGAAGCUAAGCAGGGUCAGGACUUGUUAGUACUUGGAUGGGAAUAAUGAAGAUGCUAGCGUUGAUU
RNAcentral lists this ribosomal RNA (112 nucleotides) under Microcebus murinus (gray mouse lemur). Lineage: Eukaryota; Metazoa; Chordata; Mammalia; Primates; Cheirogaleidae. The record is from RNAcentral.